Molecule: ribosomal RNA, 506 nt
Filed under: uncultured bacterium
Lineage: Bacteria
Description: partial 16S ribosomal RNA
Rfam family: Bacterial small subunit ribosomal RNA
Source: RNAcentral
AGUGAACGCUGGCGGUAGGCCUAACACAUGCAAGUCGAACGGCAGCACAGAGGAGCUUGCUCCUUGGGUGGCGAGUGGCGGACGGGUGAGGAAUACAUCGGAAUCUACUCUGUCGUGGGGGAUAACGUAGGGAAACUUACGCUAAUACCGCAUACGACCUACGGGUGAAAGCAGGGGAUCUUCGGACCUUGCGCGAUUGAAUGAGCCGAUGUCGGAGUAGCUAGUUGGCGGGGUAAAGGCCCACCAGGGCGACGAUCGGUAGCUGGUCUGAGAGGAUGAUCAGCCACACUGGGACUGAGACACGGCCCAGACUCCUACGGGAGGCAGCAGUGGGGAAUAUUGGACAAUGGGCGCAAGCCUGAUCCAGCCAUGCCGCGUGUGUGAAGAAGGCCUUCGGGUUGUAAAGCACUUUUGUCCGGAAAGAAAUCUUCCAACUUAAUACGUUGGGAGGAUGACGGUACCGGAAGAAUAAGCACCGGCUAACUUCGUGCCAGCCGCCGCCGUAA